UGCCGCGACAACACGACUAAACGGGCUAAGCGAGUUUUCGCUUUCGACUGAAAUCGAAUGUCCUGCCGGCUAGCCGCUGACAAGAACCUACAUGAAUUGCGUACGUGUGCGCACGCGUGCAUCGUUGUGUGAGUUGCGGUAUACCGUACCGCACGUUUCUACCAGCAUCAAGUAUCGAGUAUCCGGACAAGUAAAUGUAGUCCUAUCGAGCUCGCAUUACAAAACGCCAGUGUCGACAAGAUGAGUCGAGCGAUUAAAUUACAUAUGACACGCGCGUAUUGCACUCUAUAAUGACAGAUAUAUGGGAAUAAUGGAAUGCUACUCCACCACUGACUGUGAAAGUUGUAUUAAUUACAACCUCUUAAUGUGUCAACAUUUUUUCGCUCCAACUUUUAUAUCUUUUUGGGCGGGGAACGAGAAAUCAUCGUUCUACAGGAAAAUAAUAAAAUUUCUAUAAUUGCAUUCAAUUAUAUAAAAAAUAUAAAUUAAAAAUGAAUAUAAAUGAAAUUAUUUAUUGAAUUAUUUGUACUAUUUACAUAUACUUAUUUUAUAAUGAUAAAAUUUAAAAAAAAAUUGUUUUAAAUAAAUAAAUUUACAUUAUAAAAUGAA
Long non-coding RNA from Apis cerana (Asiatic honeybee), 609 nucleotides. RefSeq lists it as uncharacterized. The record is from RefSeq and is a predicted model, not a curated record. Lineage: Eukaryota; Metazoa; Arthropoda; Insecta; Hymenoptera; Apidae.